RNAcentral lists this unclassified non-coding RNA (343 nucleotides) under soil metagenome. RNAcentral's name for it is "partial contains 5.8S ribosomal RNA, internal transcribed spacer 2, and large subunit ribosomal RNA". The stretch from base 1 to 120 matches the Rfam family "5.8S ribosomal RNA", at positions 35 to 154 of the family's 154-position model. The record is from RNAcentral.
GAUGAAGAACGCAGCGAAAUGCGAUAAGUAAUGUGAAUUGCAGAAUUCAGUGAAUCAUCGAAUCUUUGAACGCACAUUGCGCCGGCUAGUAGUCUGGCGGGCAUGCCUGUCCGAGCGUCAUUUCAACCCUCAAGCCCCCGGGCUUGGUGUUGGGGAUCGGCGAGCCUCCGCGCCCGCCGUCCCCUAAAUCUAGUGGCGGUCUCGCUGUAGCUUCCUCUGCGUAGUAGCACACCUCGCACUGGGAAACAGCGCGGCCACGCCGUUAAACCCCCAACUUCUGAACGUUUGACCUCGGAUCAGGUAGGAAUACCCGCUGAACUUAAGCAUAUCAAUAAGCGGAGGA